GACAGAGGGGCCGAGCGUUAGGCGGAAUCACUGGGCUUAAAGCGUGUGUAGGCGGAUUCCUAAGUACCUUGUGAAAUCCCAUGGCUCAACCAUGGAACUGCUUGGUAUACUGGGUGUCUUGAGCCAGCUAGGGGCUACCGGAACAAAUGGUGGAGCGGUGAAAUGCGUAGAUAUCAUUUGGAACGCCAAUGGUGAAAACAGGUAGCUGGGGCUGUGCUGACGCUGAGACACGAAAGCCAGGGGAGCGAACGGG
This 253-nucleotide ribosomal RNA is filed under the name uncultured bacterium. RNAcentral describes it as "partial 16S ribosomal RNA". It matches the Rfam family "Bacterial small subunit ribosomal RNA", at positions 524 to 776 of the family's 1533-position model. The record is from RNAcentral.